GCCGGCACCCACCCCUGCUUUCCAGAGCCCGGGAGGCGCAGAUAACCCAUGACCUUUGUGCAGAAGCUUUUCCGUGGAACAAGAGAGACUCCUGGGCCUGCUGCUCAGAGGCCCCGGGAAGCUUUUGCAGGGAGUCAGGGAGAAGCCACUGGGGCCAGUCACUUCCCGGAGCUUCUCUGCAGGCCAUAGACCCUGUCUGAGCACAUGAUGAACAGCCCCGCAAAAACGGGCCAGACUGCGCGGAGCAGCUUGGUGUGAUUAGAAGGUAGAUUUACUGCCCCGGGCCCACAGAGUCUGCUGCUCAAGGGAGCCAAAGAGGUGUAAAUAAUCCAGGCCUCCAGGCUGGACUCAGUCCUGGGAGAGAUAGACCCAAGAUAGGGCCCCAGAAAGAGAUUAAAAAAAAAAUCUUGGCCUGAGUCUUAGAGGGAUGCAGGGUAGAAGUUGGCCAGCUCUGAGGAGCUGCAACUCUGCCUGCAGAGACAGAGAGCCCUGAGAAAUGGACCUCUCUCCUUUGCUGGGUAACCCCCGAGUCGGUUCCCCACCUGCCUGGAUGCAACGCUAUUCUCUCGGGGUUUUAUUUGAUCUGAAUGAAUAUGUAGGAGCAGAGAGAAGGCAAAUGCAAGGAGAGCUGUAGUGAAGGACAAGAGAAGGGGAGAUGGGGUUUCACCAAAGCAAUGGAGAUGCAGGAAGCAAAGCUUAGACCUUAGGAAAAGCUGGCUGCAUUUCCACUCAUUGUCAGUGGGUCAACAGUUGGUCAGCAGUGGCGGUGGUCUUGGCAUUGACAUGGUAAGAUCAAGGCUGUAAGAAGCAGAAAGGACCGUGACUCUGUCUUGGUGUGGAGGACACUGACUUAGGCUAGAUAAGGGGGACUAGAUAAUACUGUGCUGGGGGACCAGAGAGCUUUCUCAAGGUGCCUCCCUGCUCGGGCAUCAUUCUCAAAACACUCUGCAAAGAUUCCAGGCGUCUGUCAUCAGGUUCAGCCGGCCCAGAGUUCUCUUUCUCUCCUCCGUGUUUGUGUUUAUGAAUUCUGAAUUGGGGACAAGGGAGGCGGGAAGGGAGGCAGAGGUAAACAGGUACCUGAUGGUACCUGAUAAGGAAAGUAGGGGUGCAACUCUAACUUGAAAAUUCCUUCUCAGAAGAGAUGACACAAAUCAUAGGCUAAUCGUUGGCAAAUUAUAACACAUCUUCUUGAAGCCACCCUUUUUUUUUUUUACCUUCCUUUAUGUAACCCCCAUGAUCAAGGCAUAAACAGGUCCAGAUGGGAACUUGUAACCCUAAAAAAGAAAAAAAAAUGGCUGAUCAUGUAUUUAUUGGGAACAACGUUCUGGAAAAACAUCAAAAUAAGUGGAACUUGGUCACUCUCCUUCAGUUGCUUGGAAUCUAACAAGGGAAUCUUUAGCAUCAGGUUGGAGGCUAUAAAUGCUCUGCCUUUCCUUUCUGUUUUUCUUUGUUUAUAAGACAAACAGUUAUUUCUUUCAAAUGGUAGAUGGGCACCACACAAAUUCAAAUAAUUCAAAUUUGCCUUCUCCGGAUGGUCCCGUAGGCAGGUGCAUAAAAGGAUGGUCAGAGGGAUCAAACAGAUCUGUGGUCCCCCACCUUUUUUGACACCAGGAACCAAUUAUCAUGGAACACAAUUUUUCCAUAGAUGGCCGUGGGGGAGUGGGGUUGGUUUCGGGAUGAUUCAAGCACAUUACAUUUAUUGUGUACUUUAUUUCUAUUAUGAUUACACCAGCUCCACCUCAGAUCAUCAGGCAUUAGAUCCCAGAGGUUGGGGACCCCUGAAAUAGAGCCACAUUGACAUGAAAUUAAUAUUUUCAGAAGAUGUUAAGUAUGGCUGAGGAGCAAGCUGAUAACUCUGGAUAAAAAUUCUUUCUUGGGUUCUCGGAGCCCCAUGAAGUGGAAAAGCAGAAAGAGCCAACAGAAGUGACCAGUGAGACCUCGGUGGGACCGAGAUGAUGCUGAGACACGUCUCUGGGCUAAAUGCUCGGUCGCUUCAGUCCCAUCUGACUCUUCGCAGCCCUAUGGACUGUGUAGCCUGCCAGGCUCCUCUGUCCACGGGAUUCAUAUCUUUCACUCAAAUGAGAUGCUUUUCGAAAUUGAAUUCAAAACGUGACCAAAGGAAAGGGCUGGAGGCUGAUAAGUGGCCUUCAGGGAAUAUAAUGACCUCUCCAGACCAUAUCUGAUGUUGCCUCUGGGAGCAUCCGCGCUGACUAAACCGAGCGUCGGCAGCUGAUUUCUGAAUUACCCUCCUUCAGUCUCACCUCCGGGGUCUGCUGCCCAGCUCCUGUGAGUCGGCCCCAGCGCAGAGCCGCUCGGUAGUAACGGUCGCACGGAGCAGACAUGGAGGGGUUUGGGUUUAUCGCCGUGUGGCUGUCUUGAAUCAGCUGAGCCAUGAGUCGGGAGGCCGCUAUGCCAGGCGGAGCCCGGGUCAGUGGGCAUCGGAGGUGGAGCUCGGAGUCUUGCCGCUUGGAGAGCCACAGGCCACGGGCCAGACAGUACCCCGGGGGUCUCACCAGGGGCCGGGCCCGGGGAGGGGGGCCACCCGAGGCGAGCAGCAACGAGUGCGGUUUUCAGGCAGCCUGGACCUCGCAAAGGCAGCAGUUGAAUGUGUGGCGAGAGAACAGCCGACGGUAGUGAAGUCGGAUGGCGUGCGUUCUGGGUCAGUGUUUGCCCUGAUACUGGAUGUAUGACCCCCUUAACAGCUUCUGUUUCCUCCCUUCUGGAAUGGAGAAAGUGAGCUGAAGUCGCUCAGUCGUGUCCGACUCCUUGUGGCCCCGUGGACUCUAGCCCCCUCAGGCUCCUCCAUCCGUGGGAUUGUUCCAGGCAAGAAGACUGGAGGGGGUUGCCGUUUCCUUCUCCAGGGGAUCUUCCCGACCCAGGGAUCGAACUCAGGUCUCCUGAAUUGCAGGCCAUCUCUUUACCGUCUGAGCCACCAGUGAAUCCUGGUGGAAAUGGAGGAUCUGUGUCUGAUAACAGGAUUGUGUCUGAGGUCUGACGCUCUCAACAGGGUGGCCUCAGACAGGUCCCACCUUCUCGUCUCACAGGCGUCGAGGUGAUGCUGGCUGAGACGGCAAGCAGGGGGCUCCUCCUGCCGCGUCACCUUACACACCACCAGCCCUCUUUCCUGACGGCCCCUCCCAGCUCUCAGCCCUGAGGAUCCCAUUUCGCAGGAGGGCGGCGACAGUGGGUGGUGAUGAGCAGGAAGCUAAGUGGCGGUCGGCACCACCCCCAGGCCUCAGGCCAGGCCAGGAGACCUGUGUUCUCAUCCCGGCCCCCCUUUAACCAGCUGGGUGACCUAGACCCUGGACUUCUCAGGGACUCAGUGUCCUCAGCUUGAAAGAUGGAGAGAAUAAAUAUGAACGUAGAGUCUCUUUCAGCUAUUAAAGAGUUUCUCUAAGGUCUGGGGAUCAGGACUCUUUUCCAUCUCCAGAAGACAGCCUCAAAAGCACAGAAAACAGUCUUGAGGUCAAACCAAAAGAACUUUCUAAAGGAGAGUUUUUAUGAGGCUGUGUGUGCCCUUCUUUAUGAGGCUGUGUGAACUUCUUCCCCCAAGGAUGAACUCUGCAGUGAGGAUAGAACGAUGGCUAUGGGCCUCCAUGUUGGCUCAGCUGAUAGAGAAUCUGCCUGCAAUGCAGGAGACCCGGGUUUGAUCCCUGGGUUGGGAAGAUCCCCUGGAGAAGGAAAUGGCAGUCCACUCCAGUAUUCUUGUCUGGGAAAUCCCAUGGCCGGAGGAGCCUGGGGGCUACAGUCCAUGGGGUCACAAAGGUCAGACAUGACUGAAGUGAAUAAACCACCGCUAUGGAUAAGCAGAUUCUUGUUUUGAGGCAAUGAUUUAAGGCUUUGGAGUUCUCUGAAAGACCUAAGACUUUAUAAGACAUGAUGGGAAUGGUGGUUUGCCAUCACCCCACUUUACAGUAAAUCUCUGGGCAGCCUCCUCGCAUCUCUGCCUUCCCUGGGUCCCUAGCUUCUGUCUCCCUGUUUCCCUCCCCUUCCCCCAAAUCAUGGUGCCUGUUGUAUUCUUGACACCACAAGAGAGUAGAAUCAGGUGCCUGGCCUCCAGCACUGCCUAGAGAGAGUCUCCCCUCCCCACAGAGUCAGAACAAUCCAAUAUAGGCUCAUGUGUUCAGGCAAGUUUCCUCUCUCUCUCUUAGUUAAUUAAAUGUAAUUAAGAAAUAGGACUAGUAAGAAGUGUUGGGCCAUUAGUGCCACUGCUUAACGACCUUUGACAAGUUGGUGUUAAUGUUCUGUUAAUAGAUCCAAGGCUGGCCGGUCCCAGGGGAACGUUUGGGACCCGAUUCCCCCAAUCCUACUAAUUGCCCAGAUGCUGCACUGAUAGGAUGCCCGGCCCUUCCUUAGAAAGUCCGGCCCAGCUUCCUCGACAGCGAAUCGACCGGCAGAUGUUGUGGGAGGGGACACCAGCCGCUACCAUACCCUCAGUGCCUAAUGGAAGUCAGACUGCGGGUCCCGGGACAAUCAGGCAGUGAGCCAAGAGAAAACCCAAGUCACCAGCUGAAAAGAAACUUGAUAGCCCCAGUUUCCACCCAACUUGUCAGGCUGGCCACUCUCCGAAAGGGGAGCUCCCCCUGUACUCCGGGUGGAUGGGAAAGAAGUAUGGGGAUGGAAGCAAUUAUUCUAUUUUAUACUUUAAUUAGUUUGAAUUAGCAGAGGGAAUAGAGGCAUAAAAUGAUCCAGCGAAGGGUGAAAUGGAAAAAGGGAGUCACAGUGGAGAAUGGCUCCACGAAGGCUGCAAAAGGCCUUGGGAACAGCAGAGAGGCUGGCGAUGGGUGUGUGUGUGGUUGUUUAGAGUGGGUGAGGGCCUGGGAUGCUGCUAUCUAUUUCAAGGCCUGGAGAGGCAAGGUAGCAUAGUGGUUAAUAGCGGGAGCAUGGCCAUCAGACCGCCUUGCUCGUCAUCUGUUGCCACUAACGAAACAUAUGGCUUUAAGAAAGUUAUUUCACUUCUCUACCCCUCACUUUCUCCAUCUGUAUAAUGGGCCUCAUAUUGGUGACUGCUGUGAGGAUUGAGAGGCCGUAUAUAAACUACCUAGCACCGUCUCUAACACACAGUCAGUGCUUUCAAUAAGUGACAAUGAUUAUUAUCAUUAUCACAAGACCCCAGUGCUGGGAAAGAUUGAGGGCAGGAGGAGAAGGGGACGACAGAGGAUGAGAUGGUUGGAUGGCAUCACCGACUCAAUGGACAUGAGUUUGAGCAAGCUCCGGGAGGUGGUGAAGAACAGGGAGGCCUGGCGUGCUGCAGUCCAUGGGGUCACAAAGAGUCGGACACAACUGAGCAACUGAACCACAUUAUUAGUGAUAUUAUGAGAAUUUCUGAGACCCCCAGGGAGGGCCAGAAGCAUCUCCACUGUAAAUUAUGGCUAAGACAGAUCCCAGUCUCGGGCAAACACCUCCAACCUGACAUUCUUGCUGCUCCCUCCCAAGGGACGCCUCAGAAGCCUCUGUCCUGGUCAAACACCAUCUGAGUCACUCAUAAUCUGCUAUUUAUUUUUAAAAUCCAAGAAUGUGCCCAGCAGACUAAACAGUCCCGCUCCCCUUGAUACAGGCGGAGGCAGCUCUAGGCUCGUGUGUGAGGCCCAGGAGGCCAGUAUUCCAGGCAUCUGUGGAGAGAAGGGAGGGAGACCCUGAGCCCUGGUCAUCCCCCAAGACUCAGACUCCUGUCUGGCUGCGUAUGUGGACAGUGGGCUGGAAAGGGGCUGCCCGGGGGCUUACUGUAUCUGACCUCUGCAACAAAGUGAACUCUAUCUCCAGCUCACUGCCAUAGAGGGAGCUGCCAUGCUCACCAACUAAGUCAGGCAUUCAGGUAGGGUGCCCUAAAGGCCGCUUGUCUCUUCUCUGCAGCAUCCAGACUGGAGCCUCUGCUGGGAUGAGGUGAAAGGCCUGGAUGACUGGAUGACUAGGGCUAGCAUGGUCUGGAGCCACACGUGUGGCAGCUGGACCCAGCUGGGCCGUCAGCCGCGCUGGCUUCCACAAGGCCUCUCCCUGCGUCUUGGGCUUCCUCACAGCAUGGCAGCCUCAAGGUGCUCAGACUUCCUGAGCACAGCCGCUCAGGGCUCCAAGAGGGCAUAUUCCCCCAGAUUAGGUUUGUCAGCCGAGUGUGCUCUCCUCAGUUCUGUCUCGUCUCAACAAAAAUUUGAAGCAACGGACGUUAGAGCCCUGGGCGUGUCAUAGCUCUCGGACAGACCGUGUUAUAGCUCUCAGACCGAUCCGUGUUACAGCUCCGUGUUACAGCUCAAUUUUAUUUAGAAAAUUGCAGGAAAAUACAUCCUCGAGGCAUGAGGGCAUGCCGACCCAAAGACGCGAAGAGGAGAGAGGGGGGAGCACGCCAGCGUGCUGGAGAGAGACAGAGAGACCCCAGCCCUUCGGAUCCCCUUUUUAUAUGUUUUUUUCUCCUCCCCCCGGGCCUGCCCUAUGUAAAUUGGGCUAGCCAGGAGUGCUGUUCAUUCUACCUGAGGUCCUCAGACCUACUCAGUUCUACUCAGGUCCUCGGACCUUCCUUUGUUCCAUUUCCACGGGCUUCCUUGUCUUUUAGCCACUGCCGUUCUGGACUCCUGUUUCCUAUUCUAACUACCUAACAGGUGGAAAUGUUAUUGCCUUCUUUAUGACUUAACCUUAGAAGUCAUAUAGUUCUCUCUUCUGCACGCCUCUUCACCUCUCUACUGCCUGUCUCCCCGUGAUUCUGACAUGUGACCCCUCUUUGAGAAACAAGGCACAGGGAAGAUAAAUACAUGGUUUCCUGUCUCGCGGGGUCAUGAACCCACAGAGCAUCUGAGCUGGUAAGGACUUCAAAGCUUACCCAUCCUGACCCCAGUAUGAGGCCCAUGGGGCAUGGAGCAAGCCAGCUUCCAUUUCAGCCUGUGCUACACCCAACACCUAAGAUCAGAGUCCCCAGAACUGGUUUGGUUUUCCUAAACUCACAGAGAAGUGCCAGUAGCUUUAAAGCUUGCUGUUGAUGGACUGAAGGUUGCGUUGAGCCCUAAACCACAUCAAAGGUGGCUCUUGAAACUGCUUCUGGGAAGCCUUUGAGGGAAUCCAUCAGGAAAAGUGUCACACUGCCUGGAAAUUGCCCAGGCGACGGCAUGUGAUUUUCAAGGGCUGUCCUGGUCUGUCUUCCUGUGCAGAGUUUCGUCAGCCCACUCAGAAGACCUUUCUCCUGGGUGACCCACCCUCACGCAGGGCAAUGGGACUUCGCCAUGGAUGAAUGGAUAGUGACUCUAACCACCUCCGCCUCAAGUCAUUUCAGAGAGUUGGGGCAAGAAGGACUCUGGCCUGGAGUUACUAGAAAUCAAAAUUAUUUGGAAAGAUUAUGAAGCCGCCCUUCUCAGAAGGUCUCAAUCGUGGGAGAGACCCCUGCCCCUCAACUCCUUUCACUGAUUUAAGACCCCCUGCAUGGUGGGGGAGAGCGCUGGGAGGACAGACUUGAUGCCUCUAGCAUGCCACCCCAGCCAGCUUCGCCUGAGAAUGAAUUUUGGUUUCCUUGUAUUUUUGGAGGAGGACCUGUCAACUAUAAACCAGCAUCAAGGGCCAAAAAUAAGAAACAGUUUCAAAGGGCCUUAUUGUGAUGUAAGGGUAGUGAGUCUGUCACCUGUGGCCAGCGCCACUGAAUAGCCAAGCCCCUAGGCGUCUAACAACUUGGGGAAGGAGCAGAAGAGAAUGUGUGAAGCCAUCCUUCCAGAUGUCCCCUGCUCGUUUAUUUUGACAUCUCAGACUUUUAUUUUGAUUGUGCACAUUUGUUUAGUCCUGGCGAUAAGGCUUCCCAGGGCGCAGGCAGAGCAUGCCAAGGUGUAUUUUUACAAGGCGGUCGGAGUCCCAGUAACAGGAGACCUCCCUUCUGCCCGGACUGAGAGGCCUGGGCUGCAGCUCGGGGAAGGAUGGAAUCUGAGGAGGCAGGGCUGGAGCAGAGCCUGGGGGAAUUUGGGGGAGAAUUACAGAGUUUGCGGAUUAGGAAAGUGAGGAUAAGCAAAUUUCUGCCGUACUUGUGUUUUCAAAUAUGUCACUUUCAAUCCAGGCCUUUGAUGCACACGUGUUUCUAGUUAAGGACCUCAGCGCGGCCCAGAAGCCAAGCACACAUCUCAGCGUCUUUCCCAAAAGAGGGGCGAAUCCUACCUCCCGGAGGACGCGGUGCAGGGACCAGUGACCACCCCAGACCCGGGUUUGAUUAUUUUUUUCCCCUCUCUCUCUCCCCCCAUUUCAAAUGUCAGGGAACAAAGAGGCUGACACAGAGCUGAUUCCCUGGCUAUUAAUAUUCUCAUUGGAGCAUUUUUAAUAAAUAUUUUCACAUGAAGGAAGGGAGUCGCAAACCCACCCUAUUAAUCAGGCACUUGGCUUGUAUUUAAGAAAGAAAACUCCAGCCUCUUAUUUUAAAAUCCUUUGGUUUGGAAAGAAAUCAUUGAACACAAUGCCCAGGCUGGGAGAACCGGUGCCAAAAAAGCUCAUUUCUCUAAAUGGGCAGGGAGGCUGGAGACUCUUCCUCUAAUCCUUGGCAAGGGACGUGAUGUCUCUUACCAGGUAGGACUGCCGGAUGCUGACUCUCUGAUUGCCCAGAAUGACGUUCCUAGGAUGGAGAGGUGGGAAAUCACCGUACCUCUAUCCCAGAAGGAACUCCUUCCCUCAUAUUAAAGAUGAGGAAAAUGAUGCCAGAAAGGGGAAUCACUUCCUAGAUCAUCCCCUGAAUUACCAGGAGAGCCAGAGUUCAUCCUAAUUCACCUGGUCCAGUCCAGCAUCCUUUUCCCAACUUGACAAUAGCUUCACUCAGCACAGACCAGACCAAAAAUCGGUUGUGUUAAAAAAAAAAAAAAAAGACUUUCAAUUAAAAAACAUUAAAGCUACCCAAGCCCAAGGGAGUCCCUGAAGAUGUUCCCAAGGGUCAAAUUAAAAUAGGGAAAGAUUUGCAUCUCAUUUGCAUACACAGACUCAUUCAUUCAACAGACCAUUAAGUGUCUACCAUGUAUAAUGCAUGGAGCUGUCCACUGGCAAGUUGUUUGCAUAUGCAGAUAUGGACAGGGCAAUCCUUCUAAGUCAUAUUCCUGCAAAAGGUCUUAUAAAGAGGUACCUUCUUGAUUUCUGAAGAUAGGUGCCUUCUUGAUUUCUUUCUGCUCUUUACAAUGCAACAACAGCACCAUUCAGCAUGCUUUUAUAUAGGGAUAAAUAAAAUAUAAUCCCUGACCUCAGGGACGCUACAUUCUGGUGGGGAAGAACGAUGUUCAGAUAAAUUGCAAUACGAAGUGAGCAGUACCGUCGCAGAGAUCUACAGUACGCCCAGUGACUGAAGCAACUCAUGCCGACCACAGGGAGCCCUGUCCUCGUACCUCCACACUUGGGCUCACUCAGCAGACAGACCCUCUCUCUGACAUAGCAGUCCAGAGCUGGGGGAGCUUCAGGGACUGUCUGGUGGGGGGCAGUCCUUCCUUUUAUAGGCGAGAACGGGGGACCUAAGGGGAGAGUAACUCUUGAGAUCUUGAGACCAGAGUAUCCACCAAGCCAGAGUGCAAAGAAGUAGAUAGUGAUUGAUGAUGGGCAGUUUCCUGGCCACCAUGAAGAGCAUGGGCUCUAGAGACUGCCAGCCUGCCCACCUUCCUGGGUUCAAAUACCGGGUCCCUGCUGUGUGACCUUAGGCCAAUUGCUUUACCUCUGUGCUUCGCCUGCCUCAUCCGAAAACGGGGAUAAUUAUGACAUUGCAUGAGGAUUAAAUGAGGUGAAUUCAUACAUUAAAAAGAUUAAAUGAAGUGAAUUCAUACAUUAAAAGGCACUCUGAAAAGUACCUGACACAUAUUACCUGCUUAAUAAACGUUAGUAACAGUAAUUAUGCUUUUACCGUAGUGGCCCCAUGCAUAAUCGCCAGGUGAAGCUCUGCAAAUCAAGCUCCCCUCACAGCCACACCUCGAAAAGAAACUUGGCCACCCCGCCUUGCCUCUCAGCUCUACCUAAUUUAAGAUGUGUUGAAAUCUAACUAACAUUUAGGUCGUGUUUUUCUUCUGAUACUUUGCAAACAUGACCUCGGCUAAUACAACACUCUCCUGGGAUAAA
Long non-coding RNA from Cervus elaphus (red deer), 10038 nucleotides. RefSeq lists it as uncharacterized. The record is from RefSeq and is a predicted model, not a curated record. NCBI's taxonomy places the organism in Eukaryota, Metazoa, Chordata, Mammalia, Artiodactyla, Cervidae. The transcript has 2 exons.